AGAAAUCCGACUAAUAAAUAUAAAUCAUACCGAAUUAUUUAGAAAAAAGGUUAAAAUACUGUUAUUUCUGUGUUUGUACAAACCUAGGUUGCUAGCGUGCUAGCUAACAGGCAGCUCAGAGUUAGCGGGCUAGCUAGCGUUAGCUCCCUCAGAAUGAUACAGGGAAUUCUAACAUUUACACUCGUACACAGACCUCAGACACCUGAAUAUUUGAGAAACAAAAGAUAAAAAAGCAUAAUGAGCUAGCUAGCUAGUUAAUUAUUGGGUUUUUCAGUUUUUCAGGCAGUAUUUUAGCUAACAUUAGCAGUUAGCCAUCCACUGCAGUCUGCCAUGCACUGGUUUAAACUGGUUUAAUCUGGUUUAAACCAAUGCAGAGUGUUCUAAAGACUGACUGAACACUACUGCAAGGGUGCUGCAAAUUUUAUCUUCCUCCAUUAUUAUGAUCAAGAAAGCUGUGGCGUUACAAGAAAGCACUUGUCCCGAAAGUCCUUCUCCAAACUGACUCUGUUGAGAAAACGGCACCAAACUGACUCUGUUGAGAAAACGGCACCAAACUGACUCUGUUGAGAAAACGGCACCAAACUAACUCUGUUGAGAAAACGGCACCAAACUAACUCUGUUGAGAAAACGGCACCAAACUGACUCUGUUGAGAAAACGGCACCAAACUAACUCUGUUGAGAAAACGGCACCAAACUAACUCUGUUGAGAAAACGGCACCAAACUGACUCUGUUGAGAAAACGGCACCAAACUGACUCUGUUGAGAAAACGGCACCAAACUAACUCUGUUGAGAAAACGGCACCAAACUGACUCUGUUGAGAAAACGGCACCAAACUAACUCUGUUGAGAAAACGGCACCAAACUGACUCUGUUGAGAAAACGGCACCAAACUGACUCUGUUGAGAAAACGGCACCAAACUAACUCUGUUGAGAAAACGGCACCAAACUGACUCUGUUGAGAAAACGGCACCAAACUGACACUGUUGUGAAAACAGAACAAUUUGAGAUAAUAUUGUUGUAAAACCAUAACCAUUUGAGAUCAGACACUGUUGUGAAUACAAAACACCCUUUGAAGACAGACAUUUGUGAAAACUGAACCCCCUGAAAACGGAACCCUUUAAAAACACUGUUGUGACAAGAUAAUCCUUUGAACAGACCUUUUUCUUUAUUUAUCCUGUUAGUAUUUUCUUGUGAUUUGUUUCAGUUCUGGUGAUCUAAAGAAGCAGACUAUCUGAAGCUGAAGACCAUCUCCAUCUGGACCUUAUCUGCAUUUGAAGACUGUCAAACAUCCACAUCAUUACAUUUAGUUAAUUUCCUUGCCAUUUUAUUGCUUAUUCGUAAUUUUAAUCCAACUUUCAUUUAUUAAAGACUGCAUAUUGCUUGUGGAUUGGAUUCCUUCUGUUUUUGAAUUAUAUGUACACUUUAUUGUUAUAUUAAAUAUUGUGUGUGGAUACUAA
Molecule: long non-coding RNA, 1457 nt
Organism: Astyanax mexicanus (Mexican tetra)
Lineage: Eukaryota; Metazoa; Chordata; Actinopteri; Characiformes; Acestrorhamphidae
Exons: 3
Source: RefSeq, a predicted model, not a curated record